RNAcentral lists this ribosomal RNA (440 nucleotides) under uncultured bacterium. RNAcentral describes it as "partial 16S ribosomal RNA". It matches the Rfam family "Bacterial small subunit ribosomal RNA", at positions 338 to 795 of the family's 1533-position model. The record is from RNAcentral.
UCUACGGGAGGCAGCAGUGGGGUAUAUUGCACAAUGGGGGGAACCCUGAUGCAGCAACGCCGCGUGAAUGAUGAAGUAUUUCGGUACGUAAAGUUCUGUCAGCAGGGAAGAAAAUGACGGUACCUGACCAAGAAGCCCCGGCUAACUACGUGCCAGCAGCCGCGGUAAUACGUAGGGGGCAAGCGUUAUCCGGAUUUACUGGGUGUAAAGGGAGCGUAGACGGGCCAGCAAGUCUGGUGUGAAAGCCCGGGGCCCAACCACGGGACUGCAUUGGAAACUGCGGGGCUGGAGUGCAGGAGGGGUAAGCGGAAUUCCUAGUGUAGCGGUGAAAUGCGUAGAUAGUAGGAGGAACACCGGUGGCGAAGGCGGCUUACUGGACUGUAACUGACGUUGAGGCUCGAAGGCGUGGGGAGCAAACAGGAUUAGAUACCCCUGUAGUC